Molecule: long non-coding RNA, 2290 nt
Organism: Musa acuminata AAA Group (dessert banana)
Lineage: Eukaryota; Viridiplantae; Streptophyta; Magnoliopsida; Zingiberales; Musaceae
Exons: 2
Source: RefSeq, a predicted model, not a curated record
CACCCCGUUCUCGAGAGAUUCGAGCUCGCAUUGGCGAUCGUCGCUCUCCGUCGACUCUCUCCACCUCGUUCGAUCCCGUCCCUCCGGACCCUCGCCCGCUCCUCCUCGUCCUCGGCCGCCGCCGCGCCACGAUCACCACCGGCCUCAUCGAUGCCUGCUCGGCCAUGUGCGGCGAGGUUAACAUCACCCAGGAGUGGCUCGACAAGCUCCCGCCCGCAUCCUCCGACGAGCGGCUACGCACUCACCAUGGCUUCCAAUAGCCGACAGGCAUGCCGGGCUCGGGUGCCAUGUCGUCCUCCAGCCCGAUCUACAAGGAGGCCCUGCCACAACCUUCCGAACUCAUUCUCUAUGACACCAUCAAUAGCAGAAUUGAAACUUGAGUUACUUGAGAAAGAAUGUGAAACAGUUUACAAGGUCUGAUGCUUUAUUGCCAUUCUGAAAGCAGAUAUGAUAUCAUACUUAGGUACUUAAGAUUUGCUCCACAGCACCAUUUGGUUGAGAAAGACUAACAUCAUUAAUAUAAGUGAUAACUUCAGCACAAAAGAAAGGAAAAAAGAGAACAAUACAUUGGAAAGAAGAGCAAAACUUAUUGCCCAGUUACUGUCGCAGGUAAAAUUUCACCAAGGACCAAUAAAGGCUACUUUAUAUGCACAUAUUACUUGAAGAGAAAAUUACUUGCGACGGCGAUUACACUUGUCAAGAACCUAAUUCACAUUCAUUUCUUUUCCCAUCCAACCACUUUGAGUGGAAAUAUGAGUCCUGAAUGGGGAAGCUAAUCCCGAAAGUUCCAGUCAGACAAGCUUCCCCUUUCUAAUAUAUCAUCAAAUGAAUUUGAGAGCUUUAUUCUAACCUCUUAGAUCUGCAAAACAUUUGUAAACUAAGAUCAUUAAACUUAUCCAGAACAAGUAUAAGAUGAAAUCUAAGAUAUUACAAUCAGCAGGAUGCCAAAUUGUGAUUCAGAUACAUAUGAGCAUCUCAUUCUUUGUCUUUCACAUAUCUGUAUAGUCACAGAAAGAUGAAACUACAAAGCAUUCUCAUCUAGAAAUUGUUAGAGAUUCUCUAUUAGCCCUUUACAAUAUCAAGUUUAAUUUUCUUAAUAUCAACUUUAACCAAAAAUUUUAUUAUUUCAUCCAAAACCAGGGUUUGCAAUACUAUUCGGUAUGAUUUAGUAUGAUGAGUGGAGUCUAUCGACUUCUACCAGAUGAUUUUUUUUUUCUAUUUUUCAGCUUUCUUCGUGAUUUGUUCAUAACUCAAAGCAUACCGACUAGUGAAAUCAUUAGUUGCCCAAGCAUUCACCUAGGGGAGGUGAGGUGAGGUGAAGCGAGGCCCGAGUGCCCACCUAAUGAACUGGGUGGGCGUCAACGCUCGCCGGGCGGAUGCCUGGUUCAACUCAGGCUAGUUCGAGCCUGAGUUGAACCAAAGAAUUGUAUCUGGUUCAGUUCAACCGGUUAGACCCUAAGUCGAUGACCACAGAGUUUGAUUGAGACCUGUCCACGUGUGAGCCCUAACACAGAAACCCUUUCUCACUUCUUUUUUGCACGGUGACGGAGUUCCUCCCAUCGAUGAACGACAGCAGCGGCGGCAGCAACGUCUUCUUCCAGCAGCAGCGGCUGCAGCAACAUCUUCCUCCAGCGGCAGCAUCUUCCUUUAGCAGCAACGGCAAUGGCUUCUUCCCCUCCCUCCCGGUAUAUCUCUCUCUUCCACUCCUUCCCUGUUCACCGCAGCCCUCCUACGUUCACCGCAGCCUCUUCCCUCUUCCCUGUUCAUCGCUGCCUUCUUCUCCAUUCACCGCAGGCCUCCCAUAGCCUCUUCCCUCUUCCCCAUUCAUUGCUGUCUUCUUCCCCUUUCACCACUGCCUUCUUCCCCAUUAACCGUUGCCUUCUUCCCCAUUCACUGCAGCCAUCCUACAGCCUCUUCCCUCUUCCCUCUUCCCUUUUCCCCUCCCUCUUCCCCGUUCACGGCUGCCACUUCAUUGCUGUUUGUCAAUUUAAACUUAGAAUAGUUGCCUGCUUUGCUGUUAGCCUUUGUUGUUUGUUUAUGUUUGUGAGAACAGCAGUUGCCUGCUGUAGUGAAUCAGUUGUAAAAUGUCGAUUAUUAUUGCUAUUGCUGUAGUUAUUAGUGCUAGUUUUUAGUGUUUUGGAUUAUUGCUUUAGAUGGUGACAAGAUUGAAGAUGAGGAACUGAAUUUUAAUGAUCUUUGAUGUUAAUCUUGUUUUAUUUUGUCAUUUUGUUAUUGAAUAUGGACAAUGUAGUUUGGUACUUUAAUGAAUGAAAGUUUGAUGUGUUUUUUU